GUGCUCGCUUCGGCAGCACAUGCACUAAAAUUGGAAUGAUACAGAGAAGAUUAGCACGGCCCCCGCUCAAGGAUGACACGCAAAUCUGUGAAGCAUUCUGUAUUUUU
Small nuclear RNA from Camelus dromedarius (Arabian camel), 107 nucleotides. Lineage: Eukaryota; Metazoa; Chordata; Mammalia; Artiodactyla; Camelidae. The record is from Ensembl.